GCCAGUGUGGUAUAGUGGUUUGUGUUGGACUAUGACUCUGGAGACCAGGGUUUGAAUCCUCGCUCAGUCA
This 70-nucleotide transfer RNA is filed under the name Phrynosoma platyrhinos (Desert horned lizard). RNAcentral's name for it is "tRNA-OTHER". Lineage: Eukaryota; Metazoa; Chordata; Lepidosauria; Squamata; Phrynosomatidae. The record is from RNAcentral.